CGUCUGUGCUUUGGUUACAUGCAUGGUGGGGCGCAGGAAGCCGUCUGAACCCUUCGGGGGGACGACGGUGGAAUGAGCGGCGGACGGGUGAGUAACACGUAAAGAACCUGCCCAUAGGUCUGGGAUAACCACGAGAAAUCGGGGCUAAUACCGGAUGUGUCAUCGGACCGCAUGGUCCGAUGAUGAAAGGCGCUCCGGCGUCGCCCAUGGAUGGCUUUGCGGUGCAUUAGCUAGUUGGUGGGGUAACGGCCCACCAAGGCGACGAUGCAUAGCCGACCUGAGAGGGUGAUCGGCCACACUGGGACUGAGACACGGCCCAGACUCCUACGGGAGGCAGCAGUAGGGAAUCUUCCACAAUGGACGAAAGUCUGAUGGAGCAACGCCGCGUGAACGAUGAAGGCUUUCGGGUCGUAAAGUUCUGUUGUAAGGGAAGAACAAGUGCCGCCGGCAAUGGCGGCCCCUUGACUGUACCUUGCGAGAAAGCCACGGCUAACUACGUGCCCUCCGCCUCGGUCAUACGUAGGUGGCAAUCGUUGUCCGGAAUUAUUUGGCUUAAAUUGCUUGCAGGCGCUUCUUAAGUCUUAUGUUAAAGC
This 593-nucleotide ribosomal RNA is filed under the name Exiguobacterium sp. C5. RNAcentral describes it as "bacterial SSU rRNA". It matches the Rfam family "Bacterial small subunit ribosomal RNA", at positions 34 to 601 of the family's 1533-position model. Lineage: Bacteria; Bacillati; Bacillota; Bacilli; Caryophanales. The record is from RNAcentral.